This 313-nucleotide long non-coding RNA is filed under the name Citrus sinensis (sweet orange). Its description in RNAcentral is "long non-coding RNA (CSIN_LNC000130)". The record is from RNAcentral. Lineage: Eukaryota; Viridiplantae; Streptophyta; Magnoliopsida; Sapindales; Rutaceae.
ACUAGAAUGACAUCUAGCGUUAUCUAUCGUAUCAAUUUCACUUCCACUACGUCGCUCCGUCAAGAACUCAACUCAAUCCCAAAUAACAAAAUCCCACCUCCGAAAUGCAAAUCAAGAACAACCUAGAUCGCCCAUUUCAUCCAAAGAACAAUCCACAAGCAAGAUCCACAAACACAUCCACAAGCAAGAUCCACAAACACAACUACGUAUAUAAAAAGAUAAAAGAUGGAAACAAGAUAACACUUGUUCAGUGAAAAGAAUCACACAAGAGUAACCUAAUGUGCAAGCCUAUUGCAUCACAUAUCAAAUUCAG